This 483-nucleotide ribosomal RNA is filed under the name uncultured bacterium. RNAcentral's name for it is "partial 16S ribosomal RNA". It matches the Rfam family "Bacterial small subunit ribosomal RNA", at positions 30 to 507 of the family's 1533-position model. The record is from RNAcentral.
AUUGAACGCUGGCGGCAGGCCUAACACAUGCAAGUCGAGCGGAUGAAGGGAGCUUGCUCCUGGAUUCAGCGGCGGACGGGUGAGUAAUGCCUAGGAAUCUGCCUGGUAGUGGGGGAUAACGUCCGGAAACGGGCGCUAAUACCGCAUACGUCCUGAGGGAGAAAGUGGGGGAUCUUCGGACCUCACGCUAUCAGAUGAGCCUAGGUCGGAUUAGCUAGUUGGUGGGGUAAAGGCUUACCAAGGCGACGAUCCGUAACUGGUCUGAGAGGAUGAUCAGUCACUCUGGACCUGAGCCACGGUCCAGACUCCUACGGGAGGCAGCAGUGGGGAAUAUUGGACAAUGGGCGAAAGCCUGAUCCAGCCAUGCCGCGUGUGUGAAGAAGGUCUUCGGAUUGUAAAGCACUUUAAGUUUGGAGGAAGGGCAGUAAGUUAAUACCUGCUGUUUUGACGUUACCAACAGAAUAAGCACCGGCUAACUUCGUG